CACACUGUCGCCUACAGAAUCUCUCACUAUCUCAAACAACAAAACCAUUGUAUCUCGUAACGAGACCUUCGAGCUCGGUUUCUUCACUCCCGGAUCAAGUUCUCGUUGGUAUCUCGGGAUAUGGUACAAGAAAAUCCCCAUUAGAACCUACGUCUGGGUUGCCAACAGAGACAACCCUCUAUCUCGUCCCAACGGAUCUCUCAAAAUAUCUUACGACAAUAACCUCGUCAUUUACGAUCACUCCGACACACCUGUCUGGUCAACGAAUCUAACCGUUGGAGCUUCGAGAUCUUCACUGGUGGCAGAGCUUCUCGAUAACGGUAACUUCGUGCUCAGAGACUCCAACAGUAACGAGUACUUGUGGGAGAGUUUCGAUUUUCCGACAGAUACUUUACUUCCGGAUAUGAAACUGGGCUGGGAUAAAAAAACCGGUUUAGACCGAGUCUUGAGAUCCUGGAAAAGUGUAGAAGAUCCAGCAAGCGGCAAUUUCUGGACUAAACUCGAAACCAGAGGGUUCCCUGAGUAUUACGUAUUCAACAGAGAGACAAUUAUCUACCGGAGCGGUCCAUGGAUCGGAAACCGGUUUAGCUGCGUACCGGAGAUGAAACCAAUUGAGUACAUGGUUUACACUUUCAUAGCAAGUAACGAAGAAGUGAGUUACUCAUACCACAUGACCAAACCCGAAGUUUACUCCACAUUAAGCCUAAGCUACACCGGAACCAUACAGCGACGAAACUGGAUUGAGCAAUCACAGGCUUGGAAACAGUUAUGGUACCAACCAAAGGACAUAUGCGACAACUACAGACAGUGUGGUAAUUACGGUUAUUGCGAUUCCAACAGCUUGCCUAACUGUAACUGCAUCAAAGGGUUUGGGCUAGGAAAUGGGCAAGAGUGGGCUUUGAGAGAUGAUUCAGCCGGUUGCGUGAGGAAGACGAGGCUGAGUUGUGAUGGUAGAGAUGGGUUUGUGGUUGUGAAGAGGAUGAAAUUGCCAGAUACUGCGGCUACAGUUCUGGACAGAGGAAUUGGGCUGAAGGAGUGUGAAGCCAAGUGCCUACAAGAUUGUAACUGUACGGCUUAUGCUAAUACGGAUAUUCGUGAUGGCGGGUCGGGCUGUGUGAUUUGGAAGGGAGGUCUUUUCGAUAUCCGGAGUUAUGCAAAUGGUGGUCAGGAUCUCUACGUUAAACUAGCCGCUGCUGAUCUUGGUUAGUUCUUUCUCCCAUGCGUUUUAAAUGUUUUGUUUUAGUUGAGACUGAUGUGAUUCCGAUGUAAAACUAACUAGCCGUGGGUGUUUUUUUUUUUUACGUAAUGUAACUAAAUAUUUUUUACACCAUUAUAUAAUCUAUAAAAAUUAUAAUAAAAUGGCGACUCUAUAAAAAUUAUAAUAAAAUGGUGACAAAAAUACAUCACAUAAUACAUAUAUUGCUGUUACAUAAUUUCACUAAUAGUAAAAGUAAAAUGAUUUCUAUAACUGUAAAGAUAAAUAUCACGCGAAUAUUUAUUUUUAUUUAACCAAUAUCAUUUUUAUUUACUUGAUAUCGAGUUGGCUAGUGGUAAAGGAAAUAUUAAUAGUCUUUUAUUGGUCGGGUUUGAUACGCAUUAGAAAGAAUUAUUUACAACAAUUGGGUUCCCAGUAAAAUUAGAACCUACGUCUGGGUUGCCAACAGAGACAACCCUCUAUCUCGUCCCAACGGAUCUCUCAAAAUAUCUUACGACAAUAACCUCGUCAUUUACGAUCACUCCGACACACCUGUCUGGUCAACGAAUCUAACCGUUGGAGCUUCGAGAUCUUCACUGGUGGCAGAGCUUCUCGAUAACGGUAACUUCGUGCUCAGAGACUCCAACAGUAACGAGUACUUGUGGGAGAGUUUCGAUUUUCCGACAGAU
RNAcentral lists this long non-coding RNA (1884 nucleotides) under Brassica napus (rape). RNAcentral describes it as "long non-coding RNA (BNAP_LNC019047)". The record is from RNAcentral. Lineage: Eukaryota; Viridiplantae; Streptophyta; Magnoliopsida; Brassicales; Brassicaceae.